GUGCACAAAGAUACAUCAUGGUGAACAUAGAAACCCUAACUCCCUAGCAGCAAAACUCAAAAUCACACAUAAGCAAAAUUGGAUAAAAGUAAGCAUUCAAUCAUGUUCAGGGGGUUGAAUAUAGCAUUUCUCAUUCACACAUCAAGUCAUGAAAACCAUUCUAUCAAGCAAUUCGAAAGCAAGUUGCUAACCUGAACAGGGCAAUGUUGAAUGUGAUGUUAGAGGUGCUUUUAAUGAUGCUAGAUGAUCAGAAAGCAAGUUGCUAACCUGAACAGGGCAAUGUUGAAUGUGAUGUUAGAGGUGCUUUUAAUGAUGCUAGAUGAUCCCUUUAGCUCCUUUGAUGCUCCAGGAAUGUAAUGCCUUUGAGAGUUUGCCUUGAAACCUCCUCAACUGUUCUAGCCAAUUCAAGUUGCAAGUGUGAAGACUUGAAAUUUGGAUAUGAUGAUUUAAUGAUUACAGAUGGGAUUUUCUGCCUACAAUAGCUUCUACUUGUUGUAUGGAAGGUGUUUGAAUGGAUGGUUUGCAAGGGACUUGGGGAAAAUAUAAUUUUUGAAAAUUUGGAUUUUGGAGUAGAAAAUGAACUUUUGCAAUGGUGAGUUUGUUCUAUUGGUUUGUUAGCAGUUUUUUUGAAAGAAAAGGCCAAGGAUAUGUAUGUGUAUCAAUGAGAUUUUCUGGUUUGGUUGGUGGUUUUGGUAAAUGCAAAUGGGAUAUGAAACUAGGCAUGGCCAAGCUUUUUGCUCAUUGAGUUUUUGGGACA
This 757-nucleotide long non-coding RNA is filed under the name Lathyrus oleraceus (garden pea). Its description in RNAcentral is "Pisum sativum (pea) long non-coding RNA (PSAT_LNC040441)". Lineage: Eukaryota; Viridiplantae; Streptophyta; Magnoliopsida; Fabales; Fabaceae. The record is from RNAcentral.